UGAUACGCCCCGGCCUCGUUGAUUAAUCCGAGUCGUUGAUGUGCCCGAUCGUGAAUUGGAGUAAUGUUGAUAUUUGUCGAAGAUAGGUUAGAAGAAAAGGAUUAUUUAGGCUCAAAAGAGUUUUGUUGGUUUAGGAAAUGAAACAAAAGUCAAUGGAUGCAAUUUGGCUAAGGAUUCAAAAGCUGAACUAACACAAUGGUAGUGUGUUAACCCGUAACUUAUGAGAAUGCUUAGGUUGGUAAGGUGUUGAUGGAAGGUUUGUGAAGUGGAUAGAAACUU
RNAcentral lists this long non-coding RNA (279 nucleotides) under Gossypium raimondii (Peruvian cotton). RNAcentral describes it as "long non-coding RNA (GRAI_LNC001422)". Lineage: Eukaryota; Viridiplantae; Streptophyta; Magnoliopsida; Malvales; Malvaceae. The record is from RNAcentral.